GUGGCCUAUCGAUCCUUUAGA
RNAcentral lists this small nuclear RNA (21 nucleotides) under Arabidopsis thaliana (thale cress). RNAcentral describes it as "snRNA_15530". Lineage: Eukaryota; Viridiplantae; Streptophyta; Magnoliopsida; Brassicales; Brassicaceae. The record is from RNAcentral.